Molecule: ribosomal RNA, 1334 nt
Filed under: metagenome
Description: bacterial LSU rRNA
Rfam family: Bacterial large subunit ribosomal RNA
Source: RNAcentral
ACCAAAAAUGCCUCUAGGAAGUCAAGUAGUGCCCGUACCGUAAACCGACACAGGUAGGCAGGGAGAGAAUCCCAAGGUCCGCGAGAGAACCCUCGUUAAGGAAUUCGGCAAAUUAGCCCAGUAACUUCGGAAGAAGGGGUGCCUUUUGGCGUGGCGCAUUUUACAUGACGAGCGCCGAGAGGCCGCAGUGAAAGGGCUCGGGCGACUGUUUACCAAAAACACAGGUCUCUGCUAAAGCGAGAGCUUAAGUAUAGGGGCUGACGCCUGUCCGGUGCCAUACGGUUAAGGGGAGAGGUCAACCCAUUUGGGGGCAGCUUUGAACCGAAGCCUUGGUGAACGACGGCUGUAACUAUAACGGUCCUAUGGUAGCGAAAUUCCUCGUCGGAUAAUACCCGGCCUGCACGAAAGGCGUAACGAUCUGAGCGCUGUCUCAACGAGGGACUCGGCGAAAUUGUAGCACCAGCGAAGAUGCUGGUUACCCGCGGAAAGACGGAAAGACCCCGUGGAGCUUUACUGUAGCCUAGUAUUGAAUUUGGCUGCGUCAUGUAGAGGAUAUGUGGGAGGCUUUGAAGCGAGCUCGCUAGGGCUCGUGGAGCCGCCGGUGGAAUACCACAUUUGACGUGGUUGGAAUUCUACCUGAGCCGUAAUCCGGUUUAGGAACAGUAUUAGGUGGGCAGUUUGACUGGGGCGGUCGCCUCCUGAAAGGUAACGGAGGCGUUCAAAGGUUCCCUCAGCGCGAUUGGAAACCGCGCGGCGAGUGCAAACGCACAAGGGAGCUUGACUGCGAGACCUACAAGUCGAGCAGAUGCGAAAGCAGGAGUUAGUGACCCCGCCAUCCCGAGUGGAAGGGUGGCCGAUUAUCGGAUAAAAGUUACCCCGGGGAUAACAGGCUAAUUGCGCCCGCGCGUUCACAGCGACGGCGCAGCUUGGCACCUCGAUGUCGGCUCGUCACAUCCUGGGGCUGAAUUCGGUCCCAAGGGUUGGGCUGCUCGCCCAUUAAAGUGAUACGCGAGCUGGGUUCAGAACGUCGUGAGACAGUUCGGUCCCUAUCUUCCGUGGGCGUUGGAAACUUGAGAGGAGCUGUCCCCAGUACGAGAGGACCGGGAUGGACGGACCUAUGGUGUACCUGUUGUCUCGCCAGAGGCACGUGCAGGGUAGCUACGUUCGGACGGGAUAAGCGCUGAAAGCAUCUAAGCACGAAGCCCCCCUCAAGACUAGGUUUCCUCGAGAUUCGAUCUGCAAGGCCCCUGGUAGACCACCAGGUUGAUAGGCUGGGUGUGUAAAGGCAGUAAUGUCUUAGCUUACCAGUACUAAUAGGCCGAGCGCUUGAUCAC